Long non-coding RNA from Drosophila mojavensis, 407 nucleotides. RefSeq lists it as uncharacterized. NCBI's taxonomy places the organism in Eukaryota, Metazoa, Arthropoda, Insecta, Diptera, Drosophilidae. The record is from RefSeq and is a predicted model, not a curated record. The transcript has 2 exons.
UUCUGCCAGUUGUGUUUUUAAGACAUACAUAGUUUCCCCCCAUUGACAAAUUGUGCGGAAAAUGUGAAAAUGAAUGAAUGAAUAUUCAUGAAUUUUGCAUUUUUGAUAGCAGUGCAUAUGAUAUUGCAUCUAACCAGUGUUGCCAGCUGUUGAGCUCCGAAAUAAGUAUUAUGGUUAAAAUACGGCAAAAAUAGUCAAAAAUGGACAAACCUACGAAAAGUAAAGAAAAUUGUAUUAGUACACACAGUGAAAGUGCAAAAUUUAUGGAUUUAUUUCCUCUAAGUAUUUCUUCCAGCAAUUUCCUCUGAGUUUUUCUUUCAAGUAAUUCCUCUGUUUCUUUUGUUCUAUAGUUUUUUAAGGACGACGACUUCUGCAUAGUCUGCCGGAAUGUUUGGCUAUUUCAUACU